RNAcentral lists this long non-coding RNA (13225 nucleotides) under Solanum tuberosum (potato). RNAcentral describes it as "long non-coding RNA (STUB_LNC002080)". The record is from RNAcentral. Lineage: Eukaryota; Viridiplantae; Streptophyta; Magnoliopsida; Solanales; Solanaceae.
UAGAACUUCAAAUACGAACUUCAAUAUUUACAACUAUUGUUGGCUAAACCAGUAUUUAGAAAUAUUGAAGUUCAAUAUUUAAAAGAUUGUAAUAUUUGAUGUCCAAAUGGCUAAGUUCAAUGGAAAGCAUAUUGACAAUUAUCUUACAAGUGUUCCUCACUAGACUAGUAAAUUUGUAUAUUAUGUUUGCUACUCCUUUUUUUCUAUAAUAAUGACAAUGAAGGGUGUAUUGAGACACUUUCAAACUCUUGGGACUCCUGAAGGGAAAUAAUUGUCUCCAUGAUAUCACCUUUACUAUGUCGAGCAUUGCUGGGAAAAGGGCUUAGCUGAAAUCAUUUGACUCCAAUCUUAAACCAGUCGUACAGCUCUCAUUUACCUCUUUGUUCAAUAAAACAUCAAGAGAACAAAUCCAAAGUUCUCUCUUUCACCUUCAAGUUUCUGAUAUCUCCCUCGCCAACCACCCUUUUUUCAUCUUUUUUUUUUUUUUUUACAAGUGUCUCCAAUCACACAUUCAUUUUCCCCUCUAUCUGACUUCUUUUUUUGUUUUGUUGAGAAAGAUCUCCCCCUCUAACUGAUUUAACUCUAUCACACAUAGUGUUGGCCUCCAUGGCUCGUCUUCUUUGUACAUUUGGGUACAAAAUCCCACGAUUUCCUCCUUGACAUCAUUUUCUCCCCCAUACAGCAUUUAACAUGUCCAUGACUUCUUGUUUCUUUUUGGAUAUCCACUUGACUAUUAUAUAUUAUGACAUAAAAUAUCCACUUUCUUUGAUUCUAAAUUAUGACAUAUUCUCCACAAUAUCCACUUGACGAUUAUAAUUAUAAAGAAUAUUUUACAAAUACCCUUGAUGAUUCUCAGACUUGUUGGGCAAAAUUAUAGCAACCCACGUGUGUGGACCAGACAAGCUACCUGGUGGAUAGGUCCGGGUAUUUUUUCAAGCCUAGAGGAUUAGUCAAGAUACGUGCAAGUUCAAUGGGAUGUUACAGAUAUAAAAAAAAAUCUUAAUGAUUCUCGACUUCCAAAGAACUAAUCUUACAUACCAUAAAACCCUGAAUAUUACUUUCUAAGCUUAACAAUACACGACCUUCACAGAAAAGCUCCAGUUUUCCCUAAUAUACAAUGUCAAUAGAUUUUUCCCUAUUAUAUUUUAGCCACACUCCCUCCAAGUAGACCGCAUCAAUGUCAAAAUAUAGACAAACAAACAAGUUACACCAUAAACCUAAAACAACAUAAUACAGCUACCACUAAUAGGAGGUCCUCCUCAGGUUCAAUCUCAGUUAACCAAUUAAUUAAAAGCAAAAGAAGAUUUCAAAAUGAAAUCUAGACAGCAAAAAGAGAAGACAUCUUAGUGGCCGGAAACUCUAAUCAUCCUAAGACUAAAAGUAUGUCUUUUCUACUUCUCUUCACCAAUCUGUUUCUACUUCUUCUCCUGUCAUUGCAGGGGUGGGGAAGAAGAGAUAUAGAGUAGGGGAAAGAUUUACUCACUUGUAGUUGUGGCCAAAACUGUGGAACACAGCACUAAGAGCUUCCAUAAAUGCUACUGAAAGAGUAGCAGCUGAUGCAACAUGAGAUGGUGAGGCUUCCUGCACAAAGAGAACCAUAAAUUAAAAGGAAAAUGUAAUCAAUAUUUCAGCGAUGGUUGUGCAGGAAUAUCCCAGAUAGUAUUAGAAUACGAAAUAUAAGAUCCAGCUUUAGGUUGUGGAACUAAUGUAACCACCAUAUCGAGAAGUUGUCAAUAAAAAAACUACAAAAUAGAGUAUUUCCUUUUCAACUAACAUCAAUAAUAUUAGCUAAAUAGAUGUUUCAUAAACAUUUCGAUCUACUGAUUCUAUCAGUUGAUUAAAUUCAAGGAGGCGAUUCCAUCCAAAGUUUCAUAGAACAGCAUGUUAAGUGCUUCUCUACAUAUUAGAGUUCAACAUACGUACAUUUCUUGCCAACUAAAAUCAUCAUGGAUCAUAAAUCAUAAGAGUGCAUUUUUUUAAAAUAUUUUUUUAUAUCCUCAUUUUCUCCCUCUUUUUUUUAUCAGGUAACAUUGCUCAUUUUCUCCCUCCUUUUCCAUUAUUUUCUCCUUUUCUACCCUUUGUGGGGUAGAGCUAUACAAGUAAGUUAUGAAAGGUCUUUCAAAAAUUAAGAUGACAUUUAACAAAUUACCUUGAAUCCAUCAGGAAGGACCUCAGCAACAACUAUCCAAAUCAUACACCCAGCAGCAAAGCCAGUAGCAAAUGGCAAAAAUUUGUGAAAUGCAUCAGCACACAUAUAUGAUGGUACUGCAACAAUUGGCUGCAUUACGAAAGAAUUCAAGGCUUAGGCAUCAAUAUAUCAUGACUACUGACAAAGGAUGGAAAAUAAUCAAAACAUAACUAAACAGGAAACUAAAAAUCAUAUAUCAUACCUCACUUGUUCGUGAAUAUGCAAUAAUUUAUAUUAGUACACACAUGAACAGUAUAAACUAUCGUUAUAAUGAUUUGCACAAGCAUCUCUUAUAGAAUACAAAGACUACAUCAGUGUUGUUGAAAGCAAGCGCUUCAUCGCUUACUUAGACAUCAAUAUAUCAUGAGUCCCAACAAGGGAUGGAAAAAUAAUUGAAUUAUAACUAAAACCGGAAACUAAAAAUCAUAUAUGUCAUACCUCACUUGUUUGUGAAUAUGCAAUGAAUUUAUACAAGUACACGCAUGAACAGUAUAAACUAUCGUUCCAAUGAUUGGCACAAGCACCUCUUAUAGAAGACAAACACGACAUCAGUGUUGUUGAAAGCGAACACUUCAGCGAGGCGAGGGUUUGUUGAUUUUAAAGUGAAAAGUGAAAUGAAAAGGUGGUCGCUUCUCAGAUGAAAGCGAGAAGUGUGUGUAGCAGGAAGCAAUGAGAGCAUAUGCUUUUUUUGUUUAAAAUUUAAAAAAGCUGGACUUUUUUAGAAGAAAAAGAAAUCGCAGAAUAAUAUUCUUUUGUUUCUCCAUUCUCACUGCUUGGUGUGACUUUCUUCUCCGAACUACAACUAGGAUUCACUUUUUGCUGCUCUUCUUCUUCUUCAAGCUCCAGGUAUGGCUCCUCCAUUGUUUUUCUUCUUUGUUGUCGCUGGCCCGCUGCUGGAGGGGCUGGCAAUUUUUUUCCCAUUCUUCCUUUCUUUCUUCCCGGGGUCACUGAACUCCACUAUUUUUUCCUCUGCUGAAGGGGCUGGCUUCUCUUAUUUUCUUUUUCAGCUUUUUCUCCCUUUUUCUCUUAUUUUCUUCUUCAUCAAUCAGCAGACUUAUGUUUUCUCUUAUUUGUUAUUUUUGAGUUUAUUAACUUAAUUGUAUUAGCCUUUUUUUUAACAUUCCCGUAGGCAGUUACUUGCUAGUUUCUGAUUUUUUGGUCGUUUUUUUUAAAUUGCAGUUCACUUCAAGGAUGUGAGCUCUGCGCUUAAAGCAUAAAGCGGGCCUUGUUGCUUUUUUCACUUUGCACUUCUAACAAAAACACUGGACUACAUAUCACAAAUGGAAAAAUCUGGUUUGACUUGUAUAAGAAUCAGGUAAUACUUGUAGGGAUCAGUGAGAGCAAAAUGUAUAUAUAUCCCAACUUUCACUUGUCUAACUAGAAAUUCCAAUUUGUAAAAGAUGGUAUAUAUUCAAUCACCUGGGGUAAGGAAGUUAAUAUACUCCAUAACAUGGCCUUCUGUGGAGAAACUCCUCUUGAUGCAAGAACCAUGCUCACAGCUAAACCCUCUGGUAUGUUGUGCACGGCAAUAGCCAGAGUUACCAAGAUGCCCUGAGAAAGACCUUUCGAGCCAGCAAAGGAUACUCCAACACCAGCACCCUCCCCAAAUGAGUGAAGUGUCAUAAUUCCAACAACAAGGAUGACUUUUGCUGCAUCUGCUCCCUUAAUGUCCAGCAUACUUACUUCACCAUAUUGUUCAAGAAACUGAAUAUGAACACAGAAACAACAUGAGGAAUUGCAAAGUGGGAAUGACGAAACUUGUCAAACUAUGCAAGAGUAACAAGAGUUAUGCACAAAAGAUUAACAGAAUUAGGUUUACUUCAAAUGCAAAAGAGACUAAGAAUCCUAAACUCAGCCAGCAGAUCAAGCUAAUACAACUAGCAUUCACUAGUAACACGACAAGGUUUUUAUAAUGUCCUUCAGUAAAUAGAAAUUAGAAACAAUUAACACAACACACUACAUUUGAUAUCCACUCAACAGAAUGACUAGAACUGAAAAGCAGUAGCUUCUCUACUUAACUCCAUAAGACCCAUUACCAGCACCUCCAAAUUCCCAAUAUGGAAGUCAACAUUAAGUUGUAAAUUUAGUUUGCAAAUUCCAUCCCACUCAAGAGAUAAGAUAUAUGAAUAGCGUACUUCAAUGAAGGAAUAAACAUUAUAUAUUCUGCUAAAUCUUAAUAAUUGCAGCUAAAGCAUAGUCAUUCAUUUCUUUUGUUUUUUGGUUUUAACUUCUUUUUUUAUAUAGGUAGUGGUCAAGCUAGCUCAUGCACACCUCUAGUAAUCCACGAACAGCCUGCAACAUCAUACAUACACGGGAAAUUUGUCCAUAUGGCUCAUACUAAGUAUAUUUUGUUGGAAUUCAAGCCAGAAAUCUCAACAGCUACUCCUAAACCUCAACCACUCAGUCAUCCCCUUUAGAAUGCAUAGUGAUUCUCUUCAUUGAUAGACUAAGACUAAAGAUUAAAAUUACGCAUAGUCCAUAAAAGCAAAGAAAUACGUAGAAAGCUCGAGAAUAAAAACUUAAAAGAAAGGAGAAGUAGUGGACAUCCUUAUCCAAGCAACAUAGUAUAUAUGUUUUUGAAGGGCAGUGAUUGGGAAUAAAAACUUAAAUGUAAGGAGAAGUAUUGCACAUUUAGAUUUUUUUAAUAGAGUUGCACAUUUACAAAUUUCCUAUAUCAACAGAUAUUGGUUUGAUCUGAAACCUCUAAAUUCCAAUAUUGCCAUGCUUACAAAGUAGAGUUCUUUCCUUUAGAGAUAGCAACUGCCAAGAAAACAUUAUACAUGAACUAAACCUACUACAUGGAAUCAUGGACAACAUUGGCCUGGAGAGUGGAACAGUAAAGCUUUAUCAGAUGUGUCUGGAAAGUCCCCAAUCAAAGGAACGUCGUGCAUGUGUUUCUUAGAAUAAAAAGGGACUAAAAUCAAAAUAAAGGUGGACAUUCAUGAAUUUCCUUCAAGAACAGAUACUGUUCCAAGACACUAACUUGCAAGAAAGUUGAAGCUAGGAUAUCCGGAAGAAGUUUGAAAGUAGGAUCCCGCAACUUCCUAUUGAUCAAACAAAUUUUUUUAGAGAAAUGUAAUUUCGUUUUGAUCACAAGUACUCUGAAGUUGAAAAUAGUGGGAAAGCUAAUAAACAUUGCAGCCCCAUAGAAUUUGAAAAAUAACAAGUCAAAGAUACUGAAGGACCAGCAGCACAUGCCAUGUAUUAAGCUUUUACUUACUCAUGAACCAUUUUCCAUUUUUAUCUAGAUUAAUUGUCACAAAAAUACAUGAUAUUAGAGAUGAUGAUAAAAUUAUUUAAUGUUAUUCAAUAGCAGAUAUGAUAUAAAACUAAUUGAAGGAUGAAAACUGGACAACAUGAAAGUGGGAAACUAGGGCGUUCACCUUCUUACAAAGCAAUAUGAAGAUACCACCGGCCAAAAUACCAGACACAACCCAUCCACCACUUCCAUGUUCCUGUCCUUCCUGAAUAAGGUCAAAGCUCGCUGCCAACAUCACUCCAGCAGCCAUUCCAUUGCAUACUCCCGACCAUUGAGGAUCCAGCUCCACAAAGAAAAAUGGUACUGCACCCAAACCACUAGCCGCAGCCAUUGCCAAAGUGAACAAUGCAACUGUUGAAACAGACACUCUGGUGUUAUCACCUGUCCAUUCACCUUUUCCAUCCAUACCGACAGAAUCAAUACCAUAUUCUUUACCAGAGCCAUCAAUUAUAUUGGUUCGGACAUUCUUUAGAGGAGCAGUUAUUACCCUUUGUACACCCACUUCUUCAGAUGCAGCCGUAACAUAAGAAAUCAAAGCUGAUACAAACAGAAAGAAUAAAAGAACUUGCACAAAUCUCAACCCCAUAUUCUUCAUGAUUAGAUCAGCAAAUCAUUGUAGCCCUGAAAUUACUCAAAACCAAUAUAAUCAUCAAGAGAGUCAUUGGAAAUUCAUCAUCUCAGAGGCUACAGAUGUCAGCAGACUUAACUCCCUUUGGAACAAAUAACUUUGUGGUGAACUUCUCCAAAUAUCAAAACCCAUGGCAUACUGAAUCAACGAUCAAUUUAAAAAAUUAUUGUUCCUGGUACUGCUGGUCAAAGGGUGUAACUGGUCCGUUCUGCACUAGAAUAAAUCAUAGUACAGUUAGAUCUCAACCAAUUCAACAGUACUGUAGACAAAUAGAACAAGCAUAAGAAGACCAACAGCAAACAAAACAAAGUAGCAACUUGUUGCACCUAAGUUUCCACAAUCCAUGCAUCGUCUUUAUUCAACCUAAUAGUUCAUGUUGGUAAUUUAGAUAUACUCACCAAAUAAUUUACAUACGAUAAGCUUGUUCAGAGAAUUCGCCAGUUAACAUUAAAAUGGAGAAUUGUCUGAGACGGAGGAGAAUGAAGAACAAGAGCCACACAACAAGGAAGAGGAAAGAAGAGUCUAACAACUCAAACGCGAAAUCAUAACCCCUGAAUACGCUGAAUUCAGAGAAACAGUCUUUCCUCAGUAGUCAAAAAUUGUACUGCAAGUGAACUUAGCCCAUGAUUAGAUGAUAUCCCAAACAGCAGUUACAGCACUAGUAAACCCCUUUUUAAAAAACUACAGCGCUAGUAAACCCUGAAUAUAAUCAAACUGAUUAAACUUAGCCUUCUCUUGGAGCUAACAAAAUUCAAACUUUCUUGACAAGAUACCUAAUUAUCAGGCUUUGUUCUUACUAUCUACCAAAAAAGCUUACUCUUUUCAUCCGUCUAUCAUUAGAGUCAGUACUAAUUACGAAAUAUUUCCAUCAAAAUUCAGUUGACAACCUGUUAUACUAAUACACUACAGGCUUCAAAACCCCAGACACAACAAGCUCAACAUUAAAAAUCAUAUGAAUAUAUAGUUUGAACUAAUAGGCAAAGCAACAAAGAUAUAGACCAAAACAACAAAAAGGCAUCAACAAGAUUUCAUAAACAAACCACCAUUCCUUCCUAACAAACCCCAACAUGCCAAAACCCACAGAAGAAAUUACAAAACCACAUAGAUUACCUCCAAAUCACAUAUCCAAUAAUGGGUAUUCAUUAGAAACCAAAAAAAGAACAAUCUUUACAGAAAACCAAUGACAAGAUAAAGAAACCAUUGACCUUCAAAAACCCCAUAUGAAAUAAAGCAAGUAAUGCCAAUAUUUUUACCUAUUUCGCCGUGUCUCAAGAAUCUGAAGGAUCACGACCAAACAGAGUUGAAUUGCAAUCAAGAAAUUGUAGAGAAUUUAGGGUUUGUGACAAGAAUUAUAGAAUUGACUUCAAAGGGGGAUAAAAAACCGAUCUUUUCUCUAUGGUGAGUAAUCUUGUUGGCUAAUAAAAUGGAGGAUCUCAUCAGUUGACUCACUAUGGAAUAUGGGUAUUCUCCGUUCUUUGUGUAUUUGAAAAAAAAUACAAUGUUCCAUCCAUGGUUUCAUUUCCCCUUUUCUAUUUUUUCUUCUUGAAAUAAAUUCUAACACUAUACCAACAUGGGUUGUGGUGCAAUGAUAAAAGUGAUUCACCCUUUAUUAGAGGUCUCGAGUUUGAGCCCUGGAUAUGAAAAAAAAAUUGUUGGGAGUGCCACCCGAAUGGACAGCGCCAUUCAAAUUUAAUCGGAGCUUCAAUGUGGGCUCCGAACACCGGAUGGGAAAUCAAAAAAAAAUUCUAACACUAUCAUUUAAGUAGAAAAUUAAAUCAGUGAUACAAUAGAUAAGCAUGUCAUUUAAUUUGAACUCGAUUAGUAUUUUUGUCCUUCAAUUUUAGAUGUAUAUAAGUAAGACCCUUAAUUUUGUAUAAAGUUGAAUAAGUAAACACACAUGUUCUAGAUGACAUAAUACAUAUAGGUGUCAGUAAGGCACAUGUUUCUAUUCGUUCAACAUUAUACAAUUUUAAGUAUUUGUUUAUACACAUCAUCUACGUAGACCCAACGGUUGGAAGGGAUGUUGACAAAUCUUCAAAGUUGAAGGAUAUAAAUACAGCUCGUGUUAAGUUUAAAAAAAAAAACAUAUUUGUUUUCAAAGUUUUACUUCAAUUUAAAUACAUAAUUUGUCAAUAUAUUUGACGAAAAGUAAAAUACUCUCUUUUAAUAAUUCAGAAAUACCCAAAAUUAUAUUACUUUAUAAAAUACUAUCUUUUAUUUCUUUCACUUAAAAAGAUAAAAAAAAAAAAAAUUGGGAGAGAGAUGUUAUCUUUCCUUCUAAGACACUCCAUAUAAUAACCUUCAAAUUGCAUUUGGCUCAAUUUUCUCUUACAAUUUGUUUCCUAGCUAAUAACAAUUCUUCAGUUUUAACCCCCUAAACACAACAAAUUUAUGAAAUAUUUACUAUCCCUAAUUACUUAUCCACUUUUAAAUUGACACACCUAUUAAGAAAACAAUAAUUGACAUACUAGUUUGAAGUAAUUUUUGAAUUUUUUAAAAAUUCCUAAAUAUAGGAACUUGACCCACAUACUAGUUUUUUUCGGUACCUUGAAACUUGAGAUACUUGAUGAAUAUAUUUGCCGAGUUGUAUGAUCAAACACUACUUCUUAAGUUUUUCCCAAGUAUUCUUGGAGCCAAAUGGGUCAUAAGAGUAAAGUAGGUAUAAAAUAAUACAUUUUCUUUUGAUUUUUCAAACGGACCAAGAAUAAGUGGACAUGUAUAGUAGAUUGAGGGAGUACAUCUUUGAACUUCGAAUAUUAUAUUUUUGUUAUUUUGGACUUAAAAAAUCUUCUUCUUUUUUUGGGACAUAGAGAGCAGUACAUAUAUGCCUUGUAAUAAAUGGUUUUAAUUUAUCAUUUGUGAUGACCAAGUCAGCAAAGAUUAAAAUAUUUUUUGAAACAUUCCAUUACGAUAUUGUUACCAAUGGCAUGAAGAAAAUGUGAAAACUGUUUGGCAAAGUCAAAAUUCCACCAAUUAUGCUAAUUAGUCCCAAACCCAAACAUCGAAAAAGUAUGAUGAACAAUUUAAAGAAAAAAACGUUCACCUUUGUUUUGGCAAAAAUGUUCCAAUCGAAAAAGUAAAGUAUUUUUCUUAGAGUUUUUUAAUUUUUAAACAUUAAAUUUAACUUUUUAAAUUAAUUAAAUUGACUAUCAAAAAAUAAAAUAUGAUAAUUAUUUUAAAUCAGAGGAAGUAUAUACAUAUACGAGAAGAUAGAAAGUGAUUAAUACACUAUAGGUCAAUUCGUUUUGGCUCAAUUAUUUCUAUUUAAUUGCUUAAUAUUCAAUCAAACUAGUGCUUAUCAAUUUUUCGUAGUUUGGUACAAAAUCAAAGGACAAAGUGGCAAUAAGUUAAUGGCUUGUACGAGUGGGUUUGAUCAUUGACAAUUAACUCUACUGAAUUAAUUAUAAUAGUGGGUUAGAUAAGAUAAAAGGGUUGAAUUAUUUUUAUCCAUCUUAUAUAUCAUCUUAUUGAAAUAGCCCUUUGAUGUAUAUAAAAAGAUAGUCAUUUUGAAUUCUUGUGCAAGUGGAUUUGAUCAUUGACCAUGAACACUCUACGUGACAUGAAACUGAAUUAAUUAGAAUGGUAGGUUAGGUAUAGGAAUUUGGACCAUCGAUGAUCUACGUAAUAGUUACCUAAUUAAUGUUCACUAGACUUUAAUUCAGUGGUAAGGACGUAACACGCAAUGUCCAUCUGAAUUUUGAACUCACUCUACCACAGACGUUAUUAACAACUGCUUCUGCAACUGCACAUGUAAACUUUUUAUAUGAUACUUCAAGAGGUUAUAUGCAACAUGAAGAUACCUAUGCAAAGUAAAAGCAGCUUUACCAGAUAGUCAUGAAUGAGACCAGCAAUGUUGGCCUCUAAGGUUUAACAUGUCCCCAUAAGAUGAGCAACACAAAAUACGAAUGUUAAGAUGGAUGUGCUACCAGAAAAAAAAAUCAAACAGGACAAGAAAUGACCACAAUCGAACACAAGGUGCAACUCAGAUGGUAUGAUCACGUCUUAAAACAGACCUCCACAUAUGAUCCACUAUGACGAUAAAAGGUGCAAAGAAAGGAUAAGAUAAACAUACAACGACAUGGAGAGGAAUCGCCACAAAAUAUCUCCAUAUGAGCUUAGUGAAGAACAUAACACAAUAAAAGUAAGGUAUUCUUAGGUUACUUGUUACUCAUGCGCUUAGAUUAGCUAUCAGUGCAGGGAUAAGUGUGAGAUUUAGAUAGUCUCUAAUUUUAGAGUAUACCUAAUUUGUCUUACAAAAAAUUAUUGAGCAUGCAUGAUGAAUAUAGCAGAUUCAUGCAGCAAGCCCCAACUAGCUUUGAAUCGAGGUAUAAUUGUUAUUGUUGUCGUAUUAAACCUACCAUGACAUAUGGCACAUGAAAAUUAGAUGGACCUAAGAUUCCCCGAGUCUGAGCUGAAGUCGAAAAAAUUGGCAGUACCAAGUACAAGAUGGAAAAAAGGAGGUGGAAACUGGAACACCAUACAGACAAUCCACUCUUUACUGCUUAGUUAACCAUGAAACAGCAGGCUCAUUCAUAUAUGUAUAUUACAUAUCAAUGGAUGAGCACAUACAACAACAGUAUGAAUGUCUCAACAACAUAUAGUUAGACUCUACAUCUAAAGCUUCAGAAGUUAACACAACCAUUCUUUGUUCUUUACUGCAGCAAUCCUAACAAUCAGGGAAGCUAGCAAGAGCACAUUAUGAACAGCUGCUUCAAGGCAAAAUAUAUGGUAAGUUCACCAUACUACAACUUACAGACAAAUUUUCAGAGCUAGCAUCUGCUCUAGCACAAAUUUUUUGAAAAACAUAGUUGGGGAUAGGAAUGGUUGCAUAUGAAAUUAAUGGAACUUGCAAGCAAGCUUAGCUUUCCUAAGGGCCCAUUUGUCCGUGGGUAGUUUUCAGCUUUUUGCCGGAAUGAAUUCCGGUAUUCGAAAAACUCCUAAUACCUGUUCUCACAUUUUUUCACUCCAAAUCACUAACAAAAAAUGAUCAUUUUUCCAAGUUGUAUUCAUGUCAUAACACAACUCCAAUUUCCAUUCCAUUUUUCAACUUUUUUCCAAAUACUACUUUUUUUUUCCUCCAAAUUUCACAUCUUUUUAUCCAAAGGCCCAUUAAAUCUUCUCCACUAUCCAAAGUGGAUAUUUCAAUCUUACGUAUAUGCUCCAACUAUAUAACGCAAACAAAAAAAGUACACAUUCAAGUCCUCACGAUGAUCUUACUUGAGAUCUUUAUCUCCAACAUAAACCUCUCUGUAUUUGGAACUGCAAAAACAGUAAAGAGAAACAACUAACUUUAUUUUAAAUGGUAAAAGUUAAGUGAACCAACUAACUUGCUGGUAGUUUUUUUCAGAUAUUGAACCGAGCAGUAUGCUCACAGAAUUUGGCAACUUUAUAGAGCCAAAAAUGCGAAAGGUAAGUUCUUUUUUUUAAUAACCGAGAAAUCCCCGAGUGCUAGUGGCACACAGUUCGAAACUCGCUGGAUAAUGGACCAUCCCCUUCUCCACUUAAAUAUCAGGCAUUUGUCUGUGGCAGGGUUCGACCCCGUUAUGUGCGCCUAGCCCACAUAUCACGUGCUACACCCUUACCACUAGACCAAAGCCUUGGGAAAAAUAGUAAAUUAGAUAUGCAAGUAACCACAAAUGGCAUAUUCCCUCAAGUCCAAAUUAUAUUUGACACAUUGGAGCAUGAUUUAACUUAUGCAUAUAGAAAAUAUGAUAGAAGCAGUCAUAUAUUGAUCAGAAAUAUGGUAUAAGCCGUCAAUAUUGCCAGAAGUUAAAGUACUGAUUCUUCUCUAGCUUAUGCAGUGUAUUUUUGAAAAACAUGCAAGAAAUUCUAUAUAACAAACAUGCCAUCAACAAAGAUAAAUGCCUUCGCACCUGAGGUUUACAUUCUGUUGCUCUCUGCACCGACAUAUCCCUAAUUGGAAGCACUUGUUUCAUUCCACAUCUCUAAGACAGGGAUCAUCUGUCUUUGAUUUGAUUUGCAGAAAACUAAUCUUCUUCUUUUUUAAUAUGGUAAUCCUUUUUCAAAUGUAAAGCAGCACCAGAAGAUGCUGAAUGUGUACCAGAAUUUACUCUCUAUACUCUAUUUUCAGAUUCCGAGUAAUAACCUAUAGUUUCUAAUAACAAUAAAAUGCGUAAUAUUUCAUACUAAUAUCUUGUUACAAAAAAAAAUUGACAAGCAUAUCAUGUGUAAUUCUAAUCUUUUUCUUAUUUUUUAUUUCCCUCUUCUAAUUAUAACAUAUCUUCUUUUACAAUUGCCUGAUAUGAAAAUGCAAGUGCAUACACUCCUCAAUAGAGGAAACAUGACUCAGCUAAGGCGAAUAGCUCAGAGUGUCAAAUUCAUUCAGCACACAGUGUAACACAACAAACCAUAGAUAGCAAAAAUACGUGGAAAUGCAGCAUUUUAAUCUGCUAUGGAAGCUCAUUAACAGUUGAUGUUUUCCUCUUUUUGCAUUAUUACUUUACUAGUUAGUCUUUUAAAAUAAAACCAUGGCUAGUAAAUCAAGCUACCCACAUGGGAGAAAACCAACAUUUACACCAACAAGUUUGGAACUCUCACCAAUUUCAAGUCUUCCUACUCUUCUUGCUUAACUCACCAUUUCCUAUAAAGACUAUGAGUGUAAGUUUCUCUAUUUUGAAGAAUACAUGCCCAACCAUAACCAAGCUAAAGAAUAAAUCUCGAGAUUCAACGACAAGUUGAAGAAAAGUUAACUCACAUUUAUUUCUGGUUGUUACAACAGUAUAGUAGCUACAGAUGAAAAGAGAUAAAGGACUCAACAGAAACAUCCAAGCAAGAGUAGACAGUUAAAACCUUCUAUGCAAAACAACUAAUGGUUGGCUUUAUAUCCUGCUCUUGCUUACAAAUUGUUAUUUAGACUACCACACAUUAUGAUGUAUCAUCAUCUUCAGCUCUUUGAAUUUUUAUGUAUUAAUUUAGACGUUAUCACCAUUGUCUGAGAUUCAAUAUCAGUAACAUCAAAUCAAUGGAAACACAAAGAGAUGAACUAAAGUAAGCAUUUUUUUAUUUCAAAAAUGAAAUCUACAAAAUAAUACACAAAACAAUACUUGUACACAUGAUUAUUUUCAUAUAUUCAGAAGUACACAGAGUUCAUUAAAAAGCAAUUAAAUUGUGAUCAAAACUGAAAUGGAUC